GUGUGUGUGAGAUGCUAUUAUGUUAUGUUCGUGAAGAGAAGAGUCCAUGAUGUUUGAUUGUUUGUACUUUGUAAAUUGUAAUAUUCAGUUAGGUUAGUUAUGUUUUUUAUUUUUUUAUUUUUUUUGUGACAAGAGGCCAGGUCGAUCGGAUUCUCAUAUCAGAUUAGGUUUAAUCCAAUCUAAUCAUGAUCCAGUCGGGUGGGUUAAAAUUCCACCCUAUUGGAUUAAGCAAAUA
This 235-nucleotide long non-coding RNA is filed under the name Citrus sinensis (sweet orange). RNAcentral's name for it is "long non-coding RNA (CSIN_LNC002077)". Lineage: Eukaryota; Viridiplantae; Streptophyta; Magnoliopsida; Sapindales; Rutaceae. The record is from RNAcentral.